GAAGUUGACCAGCAGCCAGAUGUCAGAGUUUGCGUGUUUUGAGCAGCAGCGGCAGCCCCACCGGAGACCCCACGGUGACCUCGUUUCAUCAGCCAGCCCCGCAGGAGGAGGACAGGAUGGGACAUGCUUACAAAAUCAGACUUUGAUGGGCUGCUGCACGAUAAGCUAUAUUCCCUCCUCGGACACAGCUCGCACAGUCUUCUUCACUGGGCUGGAAUAAGGUCCCCGGCAACUUCCACGUGUCCACACACAGUGCCACAGCCCAGCCACAGAACCCAGACAUGACGCAUGUCAUCCACAAGCUCUCCUUUGGGGACACGCUACAGGUCCAGAACAUCCACGGAGCUUUCAAUGCUCUCGGGGGAGCAGACAGACUCACCUCCAACCCCCUGGCCUCCCACGACUACAUCCUGAAGAUUGUGCCCACGGUUUAUGAGGACAAGAGUGGCAAGCAGCGGUACUCCUACCAGUACACGGUGGCCAACAAG
RNAcentral lists this small RNA (488 nucleotides) under Pan troglodytes (chimpanzee). RNAcentral's name for it is "processed transcript". Lineage: Eukaryota; Metazoa; Chordata; Mammalia; Primates; Hominidae. The record is from RNAcentral.